This 287-nucleotide unclassified non-coding RNA is filed under the name Anthracocystis formosana. RNAcentral describes it as "partial internal transcribed spacer 2". Lineage: Eukaryota; Fungi; Basidiomycota; Ustilaginomycetes; Ustilaginales; Ustilaginaceae. The record is from RNAcentral.
AUUGUUUCGAGCCGACUCUUUUUUUAAUUGAAAAAGGGUUGGAUCGGUAUUGAGGGUUUUUUGCCAUUCACCGUGGCUCCCUCGAAAUACAUUAGCGCAUCCAUUUGAUAGGCAAGAAUGGACGAAAGCUCAAUUUUUUCGCUCUUUCUUUUCCUGCCGGGUUUUGAUAAUAUCAGGACUUCGGAGGCAAAGAAUUGGGUACGAGCUGGACGCAACGUUUUUGCUGUUUGGUGUGCUUCUGAACCCCGCCCAUGCUUCCUCUGCGAAGAAGGGAAAAAUAAAUAAUU